RNAcentral lists this ribosomal RNA (380 nucleotides) under uncultured eukaryote. RNAcentral describes it as "partial 18S ribosomal RNA". It matches the Rfam family "Eukaryotic small subunit ribosomal RNA", at positions 592 to 976 of the family's 1831-position model. The record is from RNAcentral.
UAAUAGCGUAUAUUAAAGUUGUUGCGGUUAAAAAGCUCGUAGUUGGAUUUCUGCUGAGAACGACCGGUCCGCCCUCUGGGUGUGUAUCUGGCUCUUUCUUGGCAUCUUCUUGGUGAACGUUGCUGCACUUGACUGUGUGGAGCGCUACCCAGGACUUUUACUUUGAGGAAAUUAGAGUGUUUCAAGCAGGCAUACGCCUUGAAUACAUUAGCAUGGAAUAAUAAGAUAGGACCUCGGUUCUAUUUUGUUGGUUUCUAGAGCUGAGGUAAUGAUUAAUAGGGAUAGUUGGGGGCAUUCGUAUUUAACUGUCAGAGGUGAAAUUCAUGGACUUGUUAAAGACGGACUACUGCGAAAGCAUUUGCCAAGGAUGUUUUCAUUGA